This 247-nucleotide unclassified non-coding RNA is filed under the name uncultured fungus. Its description in RNAcentral is "partial contains 5.8S ribosomal RNA, internal transcribed spacer 2, and large subunit ribosomal RNA". The stretch from base 1 to 52 matches the Rfam family "5.8S ribosomal RNA", at positions 103 to 154 of the family's 154-position model. RNAcentral also lists the same sequence under 2 other names. The record is from RNAcentral. Lineage: Eukaryota; Fungi.
AACGCACAUUGCGCCCGCCAGUAUUCUGGCGGGCAUGCCUGUUCGAGCGUCAUUUCAACCAUCAAGCCCCCGGCUUGUGUUGGGGACCUGCGGCUGCCGCAGGCCCUGAAAACCAGUGGCGGGCUCGCUAGUCACUCCGAGCGUAGUAAUACAUCUCGCUCAGGGCGUGCUGCGGGUUCCGGCCGUUAAAAAGCCUUAUUUACCCAAGGUUGACCUCGGAUCAGGUAGGAAGACCCGCUGAACUUAA